GUACACACCGCCCGUCAAGUCAUGGGAGCUGGUAGUACCCGAAGUCCGCUUAGCURACCGUCAAAAGAGGCGGYGGCCGACGGUARGACCGGUGACUGGGACUAAGUCGUAACAAGGUWKCCGUAGGUGAACCUGCAGAAGGAUCA
RNAcentral lists this ribosomal RNA (146 nucleotides) under uncultured eukaryote. RNAcentral describes it as "partial small subunit ribosomal RNA". The record is from RNAcentral.